AUUGAACGCUGGCGGCAGGCUUAACACAUGCAAGUCGAGCGAGUGGCGGACGGGUGAGUAAUGUCUUGGAAACUGCCUGAUGGAGGGGGAUAACUACUGGAAACGGUAGCUAAUACCGCAUACCAUCAGAUGUGCCCAGAUGGGAUUAGCUUGUAGGUGGGGUAAUGGCUCACCUAGGCGACGAUCCCUAGCUGGUCUGAGAGGAUGACCAGCCACCCUGGACCUGAGACACGGUCCAGACUCCUACGGAAGGAAGCAGUGGGGAACAUUGCACAAUGGGCUGAAGCCUUAUGCAGCCAUGCCGCGUGUGUGAAGAAGGCCUUCGGGUUGUAAAGUACUUUCAGCGAGGAGGCGUUACCCGCAGAAGAAGCACCGGCUAACUCCGUGCCAGCAGCCGCGGUAAUUC
RNAcentral lists this ribosomal RNA (406 nucleotides) under uncultured bacterium. RNAcentral describes it as "partial 16S ribosomal RNA". It matches the Rfam family "Bacterial small subunit ribosomal RNA", at positions 30 to 526 of the family's 1533-position model. The record is from RNAcentral.